Molecule: ribosomal RNA, 296 nt
Filed under: Escherichia sp. E4702
Lineage: Bacteria; Pseudomonadati; Pseudomonadota; Gammaproteobacteria; Enterobacterales; Enterobacteriaceae
Description: partial 16S ribosomal RNA
Rfam family: Bacterial small subunit ribosomal RNA
Source: RNAcentral
UUAAAUUGAAGAGUUUGAUCAUGGCUCAGAUUGAACGCUGGCGGCAGGCCUAACACAUGCAAGUCGAACGGUAACAGGAAGAAGCUUGCUUCUUUGCUGACGAGUGGCGGACGGGUGAGUAAUGUCUGGGAAACUGCCUGAUGGAGGGGGAUAACUACUGGAAACGGUAGCUAAUACCGCAUAACGUCGCAAGACCAAAGAGGGGACCUUCGGGCCUCUUGCCAUCGGAUGUGCCCAGAUGGGAUUAGCUAGUAGGUGGGGUAACGGCUCACCUAGGCGACGAUCCCUAGCUGGUC